UUGGAUUUACCGUUAUUUUUUACUAUUUUAUACAAUAUACAAAGUUAUAUUUCUAAUAACUCAAUAUAUCACUUUGGCAACUUUUUAUAUUUUUUGGUGGAGUUAAAGUAUUAGCAGCAAUGAAGAAUGCAUUUUACAAUAGUUGAGCCAUAGCUAACAUUUUUUAAAAUUUUAUUUUAAAAAUUAUAAUAAGUUACCAAAACAAAUAUUAAUAUAUUUUUUUACUCAUUCUUUUUUCACCUCCACACAUCUUGCUUACAGUUGUAGCCCAUUCGUCUUUCAUUAUAAGUUUAUUUAUUUAUUUUUUUUCAAUCUUUUUUUCACCUCCACACGUUUUGCUUUGAAGUCUUGUCACUUGGUUCUUGACUGACUACUUUUCCACUUUCAAGUGAGUGUACCAAAACUAAAGGGAGAGACAAACACGUUGAGAAAUAAAUGAAGAAGAUGAAGGGGCUGUAGAAACAGAGGCCGGCGAAACAAAGAAAAAUAAGAAGAAAUGCGUAGCAGAGACAAAUACGAAGAAGAGAAUGAAAAACCGACGUAAGAGUGAGGAAACAGAAUAUUUUUUCAAUCUUUUUUUUUUUUUUUUUUCAAAUUCUCUGUUACAAUUUUUUCUUUUUUAGAUUUUAGUUCAAAAUUUGUUUGGCAUAAAAAUUUUAAGGGUGUUCCCGAUAGGGCUUGAGGGUGUUCCUAUUUUUUCUUUAAGGGUAAACAAAUAAAAAAAUUUAAAUUAUUAUAUAUAAUUUUUGUUUUUUUUUUUAAGUCAGGGUGUUCCUGGGAACACCCUGCACUCUGAGUGGCGCCGCCACUGCCUUCCAAUUGUAUUACUAUUCUGGUCUCCUUCCAUUAAUGGUUGUAUUUCCCUGGAAGGGUUCUUGACACCAACAAUUGAGGACGUGUUUGCUCUUCUCGAGCUCUCUCCCGUUGGAAGAAAUUAUCAACCAAAUAUGUUCAAACAAGAUGUAGACACCAAAUUUUCACCAAAAGCAAGCACAGAGUAUGGUGACUUAUUUCACUGAGAUAGCAAAGAGGGUGGACUAGUCAACUUUCAAGAAGAACUUAUGUUUUACCUUGUCUGGAUAGCAUGUUUUUUCCUUGGCGAGUUGUACCGUGCCAUGUUUAGAUUUUUUGAACAGCCUAGCCUUGGAUGAGGAGGCCCCCUUUGGUCCAUACAAAUCUGGCUCUCUACUUAUUUCCUAAGUUUAGCUCGUUUAUCUUGAAUCUUACCUGAGCUUGCCACAUACAAACAGAUGUGGAUGGAGGAGCGUUAUCUUCAAGAAUUGAAGGCUCGACACAGCAACCUGAAGAAAGGAUAAAUCCUCAAAGGAAGUCAGCAACUAAGAAGAGAAAUCGGCCAAGGAAGACAACAGCCAAGAAAUCCUCAAUACCUUGUAUUCCAUCUAAGUUUGAGAAUAGUGGUAAUUCAGAAGAAUUAGAUGCCCAAGAAACACUAACUCAGGCUAUUCAACUAGUUAGAAGAAAACAAACUGAUGAUUCUAAGUCUUCCUUUGAACCAAUGAAGUCUAAUAGAGAAAAGAAAAAGAGAGCAUAAGAGAUCUUUGAUAGACAAGAUGAUGAAAAUAUAGCAACUUAAGUGAGUAUAAAAGAAGAAGUUCCAUAAUCAGAAGUAGUGGAAUAGAGAGGUGCAUUUAAAUAUCAAUCUACGGAAAAUACCACCAAAAGAAAUGAAAGUGAUGAAGAAGCACAAAAAAGGAAAAUAAGAAAAAGAAGAUGAGGCCAAGAAGGGAGAAGAAGCCAUUAAAAUAGAGAAGUUGAAGAAAAAGAAGAGAUGCAAAGAAAAAGAAGAGAGAAGAGGAACAGAAUAAGAAACAAGAAGAGCUGAGAAAAAGAAGAAAAGUUAAAGAUGUUAGAGCUUAGUCUUGAAAAGAGAAAGGAAAAAGAAACAAGAGAAAAGUCAAUGGAAGAAAGAGAAGUCUCAAACUUGGCCAAUUCUGGGAACAAAAGUGUGGAAGGGUAUAAUGAGGAUUCUGAUCAGACAUUAAUAAUUUGAGAUGGUAUUGAUACCAAUCUUGUUGUUAUUGCCCCAGCUAAAGGGUCUCAUAAUGCAGUGCAAUCCUCUAUGUCUUUAGGUGCUAUCAAGGUUUCAAAUGCAGAAGAAAUUGUUCCAACCUCUACACCAGCCACCAACCUUGUAUCUAUAAGCAUCCAUUCUCUUUUCCCUUCUUUCUUUUUACAUCUAUGUUUUGUUUCAUGGUUCACUACCCUUGUUUUUAAACUUAGGAGAUUUCUAUUCUCCAACAAGUUGAUCAUGACCACCUUGUUAAGGAUGUGUCUACAAAAAGUGACACUGCUGUCAAAUCUCUUUCAACCAAUGCUUUUUCAAGUAUCUCUUCUGACCAAUUGAAGAAGUCUUUUGGGAGCCUAAAGAAAUACAUGUAUAUUCCAAUUACUCAAGUCAUUCUCAAUACAAACACCAAACAGAACUUUGAAGUUUUAAGUUUCUUGCUUUUUCCUCACAUUUAAUAAAAUGAUGUAAGCAAAUAGAUGAUGCUCACUCAAUAUAUUUUUGAAAAGCAUUAAUACCAUAGUUUCCCAGCUCUUUUAAGCCAAGGCAACUUCGAAGCAGGCAGAGAAGCUACUUUGCAACUUAUGAUAAGUACAAGUCUCAACUUAAAUUUUUUCUAAUUUUAAGCUGGAUGAAGCAUCUAAAAAUAAAAAACAUAAAGAGUAAGAAUUGAGAGAUCUUCAAAAACAACUUGAGGUCGCGAGAUAGAACACAAUUAAGGCUCAUUAUUAUGUUCAACAAUUCUUGCUCCAAAGAGAUAGUGUUGAUGAAGCUCUUAAGACCUUGUCCAAAUCUUAAGCAAAAAUUUCAACUCUCUAGGAAGAAGUUACUUCUCUCACUGAAAGCAACAAUUUUGAAUGGAAUGCCCUAGAGACUUUAACUUUGAUAUGUAGAAUUUUUUCUUUACUAUUUGUUUUCAGUCUGUCUUGUAUUUUUAGGCUUCUGAUGUAAGCCUUUUUCAUAUGCGUUAUAAUUUUUUAAGCUUUCGG
Long non-coding RNA from Quercus robur (English oak), 3015 nucleotides. RefSeq lists it as uncharacterized. The record is from RefSeq and is a predicted model, not a curated record. Lineage: Eukaryota; Viridiplantae; Streptophyta; Magnoliopsida; Fagales; Fagaceae. The transcript has 3 exons.